UCUAAAGAUGAUUCACCAGUUUGGGCAAGUGCAUUGUUUGCAAGAACCCUAGCCUCGGGAAAUAUAUUGUUUAUCUCUUUUUACUUCGACUCCGACUGAAACAGGUGCGGGGAUUUCGUUUCUUCGUAGCUAGACUCAUGAAAAAGUUAUCAACGUUAAUUAUAUUUCUUUAAAUGGAAUCGUAUAAUUUUUAAUUGAAAAAUCAUCUUUGUUCUCCGAGUCUGUUUCGCUCGGUUGAACCAGCAACUCCAGACGACUCGACUCAGACGUUCAGUGCGUUCAGUGUUUUCGGUGCGUUUGGCAGCGGAGAGUCACCGCUAGAAUUACGGCAUUAACUCGAAUGAUGAGUGAGAGUCACUGUUGGAACGCAAAGGGUUAAAAAAUAUAUAUAUAAAAGAAAGAAUAUCUUCAAAAUGGAAGAAGAAUAUCAAGGCAAGAAGAAAGAAGUAUUUCACGAA
Apis mellifera (honey bee) is the source of this 458-nucleotide long non-coding RNA. RefSeq lists it as uncharacterized. The record is from RefSeq and is a predicted model, not a curated record. Lineage: Eukaryota; Metazoa; Arthropoda; Insecta; Hymenoptera; Apidae. The transcript is spliced from 3 exons.